RNAcentral lists this transfer RNA (41 nucleotides) under Barisia ciliaris (imbricate alligator lizard). RNAcentral's name for it is "partial tRNA-Leu". Lineage: Eukaryota; Metazoa; Chordata; Lepidosauria; Squamata; Anguidae. The record is from RNAcentral.
CACUUUUAAAGGAUAGAAGACAUCCACUGGCUUUAGGCGCC